This 466-nucleotide ribosomal RNA is filed under the name Taenioides sp. NMBE 1066434. Its description in RNAcentral is "partial 12S ribosomal RNA". It matches the Rfam family "Bacterial small subunit ribosomal RNA", at positions 868 to 1525 of the family's 1533-position model. Lineage: Eukaryota; Metazoa; Chordata; Actinopteri; Gobiiformes; Gobiidae. The record is from RNAcentral.
UUUGCCAGGGAACUACGAGCCACAGCUUAAAACCCAAAGGACUUGGCGGUGCUUUAGACCCCCCUAGAGGAGCCUGUUCUAGAACCGAUAACCCCCGUUUAACCUCACCUUCUCUUGUACAUUCCGCCUAUAUACCGCCGUCGUCAGCUUACCCUGUGAAGGGCCAAAAGUAAGCACAAUUGGUAGUACCUAAAACGCCAGGUCGAGGUGUAGCCUACGAGAAGGGAAGAAAUGGGCUACAUUCACUGCCCCAGUGAAUACGGAUGAUGGAUUGAAACAAACAUCUAAAGGAGGAUUUAGCAGUAAGGGAUGAAUUAGAGUAUCCCCCUGAAACUGGCCCUGAAGCGCGCACACACCGCCCGUCACUCUCCCCAAACAUAAGCCCAAAAAUAAAUAAACAACCAUAAAAACAAAGGGGAGGCAAGUCGUAACAUGGUAAGUGUACUGGAAAGUGCACUUGGAAAAA